Molecule: long non-coding RNA, 524 nt
Organism: Orcinus orca (killer whale)
Lineage: Eukaryota; Metazoa; Chordata; Mammalia; Artiodactyla; Delphinidae
Exons: 2
Source: RefSeq, a predicted model, not a curated record
GUCAAGUGCCGGCAUCCUACACUCCGCGGGGUGGUAUGAGCAGGGGUCCCUGCUGCUUCCAGGGGAAGCUGAACGGAGUCACACAGGAAGUGAGAUGGUGCUGCAAGAUGGGCUAUCUCUUUCUUCUCAACCCAGGCCCCAGCAGGAAGUGAUUCUUGCCAGCAACUGCCCUCCCAUGCCCCAUGUCUGGGGCAGAGAAGUCACAGCCACGAUGGGGAGAACACCAGUGCAGGACAGAGAGCCCAGCUCGGGAGGAGAGACACAGAGCUGGGGCAUCUAUCACUCGGCGCCAGCCUGCCCAUCUGCUCGGGGCUGACACUUUGCAGAGAGCGCUGGAAGGACGUCUACACUGGAAGAGAGCUUCUCUGGGCAAGAACCGGAACACAGAGAUGGCUUUGACCAUGCAGAGGAGGACCGUGUCCUAGGAGACAGUAGAGCAACAAGAUGGAAGACACCUGGGUUCCUGAAUGACAACGUGGAACAAAGACUCUCGCCAACCCGGACUGCCCACCACGGCACUGUUU